This 418-nucleotide ribosomal RNA is filed under the name Actinomadura rubrisoli. RNAcentral describes it as "Bacterial large subunit ribosomal RNA". It matches the Rfam family "Bacterial large subunit ribosomal RNA", at positions 1627 to 2021 of the family's 2925-position model. Lineage: Bacteria; Bacillati; Actinomycetota; Actinomycetes; Streptosporangiales; Thermomonosporaceae. The record is from Rfam by way of RNAcentral.
GAGUGUACCGGCGGCCCGUACCCUAAACCGACUCAGGUGGUCAGGUAGAGAAUACCAAGGCGAUCGGGUGAACUGUGGUUAAGGAACUCGGCAAAUUGCCCCCGUAACUUUGGGAGAAGGGGGGCCUUGCCCGGUGAUGGGAUUUACUCCUUGAGCUGGGUGGGGUCGCAGAGGCCAGGGGGAAGCGACUGUUUACUAAAAACACAGGUCCGUGCUAAGUCGUAAGACGCUGUAUACGGACUGACGCCUGCCCGGUGCCGGAACGUUAAGAGGACCGGUUAGACCUCUUCGGGGGUCGAGGCUGAGAAUCUAAGCGCCGGUAAACGGCGGUGGUAACUAUAACCAUCCUAAGGUAGCGAAAUUCCUUGUCGGGUAAGUUCCGACCUGCACGAAUGGCGUAACGACUUCCCCGCUGUCU